CCUACGGGAGGCAGCAGUGGGGAAUAUUGCACAAUGGGCGAAAGCCUGAUGCAGCAACGCCGCGUGAAGGAAGACGGUUUUCGGAUUGUAAACUUCUAUCAAUAGGGAAGAAAGAAAUGACGGUACCUAAAUAAGAAGCCCCGGCUAACUACGUGCCAGCAGCCGCGGUAAUACGUAGGUGGCAAGCGUUGUCCGGAAUUACUGGGUGUAAAGGGAGCGCAGGCGGGAAGCCAAGUCAGCUGUGAAAACUACGGGCUUAACUUGUAGACUGCAGUUGAAACUGGUUUUCUUGAGUGAAGUAGAGGUUGGCGGAAUUCCGGGUGUAGCGGUGAAAUGCGUAGAUAUUCGGAGGAACACCGGUGGCGAAGGCGGCCAACUGGGCUUUAACUGACGCUGAGGCUCGAAAGUGUGGGGAGCAAACAGGAUUAGAUACCCGGGUAGUC
RNAcentral lists this ribosomal RNA (443 nucleotides) under uncultured bacterium. Its description in RNAcentral is "partial 16S ribosomal RNA". It matches the Rfam family "Bacterial small subunit ribosomal RNA", at positions 338 to 795 of the family's 1533-position model. The record is from RNAcentral.